UAAAACGUGGGAGGCAAACGUUAUCCGGAUUUACUGGGCGUAAAGGGAGUGUAGGCGGUUCCUUAAGUCAGAUGUGAAAUUCCUUGACUCAAUCAAGAAAAGUCAUCUGAAACUGAGGGACUUGAGGGCGGCAGAAGGAAACGGAAUUCCCGGUGUAGCGGUGAAAUGCGUUGAUACCGGGAAGAACACCAGUGGCGAAGGCGGUUUCCUAGGCUGUUUCUGACGCUGAGACUCGAAAGCGUGGGGAGCGAAGCGGAUUAGAUACCCGCGUAGUCCACGCCCUAAACGAUGGGUACUAGGCGCUGGGGGGAGCGACCCCUUCGGUGCCGACGCUAACGCAAUAAGUACCCCGCCUGGGGAGUACGGCCGCAAGGCUG
This 377-nucleotide ribosomal RNA is filed under the name uncultured bacterium. RNAcentral describes it as "bacterial SSU rRNA". It matches the Rfam family "Bacterial small subunit ribosomal RNA", at positions 521 to 896 of the family's 1533-position model. The record is from RNAcentral.